AGUGAACGCUGGCGGUAGGCCUAACACAUGCAAAUCGAACGGCAGCACAGUAAGAGCUUGCUCUUACGGGUGGCGAGUGGCGGACGGGUGAGGAAUACAUCGGAAUCUACUUUUUCGUGGGGGAUAACGUAGGGAAACUUACGCUAAUACCGCAUACGACCUACGGGUGAAAGCAGUGGAUCUUCGGACCUUGCGCGAUUGAAUGAGCCGAUGUCGGAUUAGCUAGUUGGCGGGGUAAAGGCCCACCAAGGCGACGAUCCGUAGCUGGUCUGAGAGGAUGAUCAGCCACACUGGAACUGGGACACGGUCCAGACUCCUACGGGAGGCAGCAGUGGGGAAUAUUGGACAAAGGGCGCAAGCCUGAUCCAGCCAUACCGCGUGGGUGAAGAAGGCCUUCGGGUUGUAAAGCCCUUUUGUUGGGAAAGAAAAGCAGCAGGUUAAUACCCCGCUGUUCUGACGGUACCCAAAGAAUAAGCACCGGCUAACUUCGUG
RNAcentral lists this ribosomal RNA (492 nucleotides) under uncultured bacterium. RNAcentral describes it as "partial 16S ribosomal RNA". It matches the Rfam family "Bacterial small subunit ribosomal RNA", at positions 29 to 507 of the family's 1533-position model. The record is from RNAcentral.